This 448-nucleotide ribosomal RNA is filed under the name uncultured bacterium. RNAcentral describes it as "bacterial SSU rRNA". It matches the Rfam family "Bacterial small subunit ribosomal RNA", at positions 29 to 484 of the family's 1533-position model. The record is from RNAcentral.
AGUGAACGCUGGCGGCAGGCCUAACACAUGCAAGUCGAACGGCAGCACAGAGGAGCUUGCUCCUUGGGUGGCGAGUGGCGGACGGGUGAGGAAUACAUCGGAAUCUGCCUAUUUGUGGGGGAUAACGUAGGGAAACUUACGCUAAUACCGCAUACGACCUACGGGUGAAAGCGGAGGACCUUCGGGCUUCGCGCAGAUAGAUGAGCCGAUGUCGGAUUAGCUAGUUGGCGGGGUAAAGGCCCACCAAGGCGACGAUCCGUAGCUGGUCUGAGAGGAUGAUCAGCCACACUGGAACUGAGACACGGUCCAGACUCCUACGGGAGGCAGCAGUGGGGAAUAUUGGACAAUGGGCGCAAGCCUGAUCCAGCCAUGCCGCGUGGGUGAAGAAGGCCUUCGGGUUGUAAAGCCCUUUUGUUGGGAAAGAAAAGCAGUCGGUUAAUACCCGAUU